GCCGGUCCUCGGUCGUGGCCGCCGGGACGAGCGCCGUCGGUGCCGCCCGGAGACUUCGACUGAGCACCGGC
Molecule: non-coding RNA, 71 nt
Filed under: Parafrankia sp. EAN1pec
Lineage: Bacteria; Bacillati; Actinomycetota; Actinomycetes; Frankiales; Frankiaceae
Description: Actino-pnp RNA
Rfam family: Actino-pnp RNA
Source: RNAcentral